GAUGAAGAACGUAGCGAAAUGCGAUAACUAAUGUGAAUUGCAGAAUUCAGUGAAUCAUCGAGUCUUUGAACGCACAUUGCGCCCCCUGGUAUUCCGGGGGGCAUGCCUGUCCGAGCGUCAUUGCUGCCCUCAAGCCCGGCUUGUGUGUUGGGUCGCCGUCCCCCUCUCCGGGGGGACGGGCCCGAAAGGCAGCGGCGGCACCGCGUCCGAUCCUCGAGCGUAUGGGGCUUUGUCACAUGCUCUGUAGGAUUGGCCGGCGCCUGCCGACGUUUUCCAACCAUUCUUUCCAGGUUGACCUCGUAUCAGGUAUGGAUACCCGCUGAACUUAAGCAUAUCAAUAAGCGGAGGA
RNAcentral lists this unclassified non-coding RNA (349 nucleotides) under soil metagenome. Its description in RNAcentral is "partial contains 5.8S ribosomal RNA, internal transcribed spacer 2, and large subunit ribosomal RNA". The stretch from base 1 to 120 matches the Rfam family "5.8S ribosomal RNA", at positions 35 to 154 of the family's 154-position model. The record is from RNAcentral.